Molecule: ribosomal RNA, 682 nt
Filed under: Salmonella enterica subsp. enterica serovar Enteritidis
Lineage: Bacteria; Pseudomonadati; Pseudomonadota; Gammaproteobacteria; Enterobacterales; Enterobacteriaceae
Description: partial 23S ribosomal RNA
Rfam family: Bacterial large subunit ribosomal RNA
Source: RNAcentral
GACUAAGCGUACACGGUGGAUGCCCUGGCAGUCAGAGGCGAUGAAGGGCGUGCUAAUCUGCGAUAAGCGCCGGUAAGGUGAUAUGAACCGUUAUAACCGGCGAUACCCGAAUGGGGAAACCCAGUGUGACUCGUCACACUAUCAUUAACUGAAUCCAUAGGUUAAUGAGGCGAACCGGGGGAACUGAAACAUCUAAGUACCCCGAGGAAAAGAAAUCAACCGAGAUUCCCCCAGUAGCGGCGAGCGAACGGGGAGGAGCCCAGAGCCUGAAUCAGCAUGUGUGUUAGUGGAAGCGUCUGGAAAGGCGCGCGAUACAGGGUGACAGCCCCGUACACAAAAGCGCAUGUGCUGUGAGCUCGAUGAGUAGGGCGGGACACGUGGUAUCCUGUCUGAAUAUGGGGGGACCAUCCUCCAAGGCUAAAUACUCCUGACUGACCGAUAGUGAACCAGUACCGUGAGGGAAAGGCGAAAAGAACCCCGGCGAGGGGAGUGAAAAAGAACCUGAAACCGUGUACGUACAAGCAGUGGGAGCCCCACCACCAAAGCAUUUGCUGUACCGCGUUGACGGAGCGAAGCGACGUCAAACCGAUAAAACAGCAGUGUAAAGUGAGCCGCAGGGCGCUUUGCGCGACAGCGCAAAGGCAGGCGGUUUCGCGUAGCGAAAGCGAAUGCUUUGGGGUGG